GUCCACGCCGUAAACGAUGUCUACUAGUCGUUGGGAAUCUUAGUAUUCUUGGUGACGAAGUUAACGCGAUAAGUAGACCGCCUGGGGAGUACGGCCGCAAGGUUAAAACUCAAAUGAAUUGACGGGGGCCCGCACAAGCGGUGGAGCAUGUGGUUUAAUUCGAUGCAACGCGAAGAACCUUACCAGGCCUUGACAUCCUUGGAACUUUCUAGAGAUAGAUUGGUGCCUUCGGGAGCCAAGUGACAGGUGCUGCAUGGCU
Molecule: ribosomal RNA, 259 nt
Filed under: uncultured bacterium
Lineage: Bacteria
Description: partial 16S ribosomal RNA
Rfam family: Bacterial small subunit ribosomal RNA
Source: RNAcentral